GGGCGGAGGAUAGGUCAAGUAGAGACUGACUAGAGACUACUGUUCAGAUUGGGCUGAGGAUAGGUCAAGUAGAGACUACUGCUGCUCAGAUAGGGCUGAGGAUAGGUCAAGUAGAGUGACUAGAGACUACUGCUGCUCAGAUAGGGCUGAGGAAAGGACAAGUAGAGACUACUGCUGCUCAGAUUGGGCUGAGGAUAGAUCAAGAUGACUGCUGCUCAGAUAGGGCUGAGGAUAGGACAAGUAGAGACUGACUAGAGACUACUGCUGCUCAGGUGAGGAUAGGUCAAGUAGAGACUGAGUAGAGACUACUGCUGCUCAGAUAGGGCUGAGGGUAGGUCAAGUAGAGACUACUGCUGCUCAGGUAGGGCUGAGAAUAGGUCAAGUAGAGACUGACUAGACUACUGCUGUUCAGACAGGGCUGAGGAUAGGUCAAGUAGAGACUACUGCUCAGAUUGGGCUGAGGAUAGGUCAAGUAGAGACUACUGCUGUUCGGGUAGGGCUGAGGAUAGGUCAAGUAGUGACUACUGCUGCUCAGAUAGGGCUGAGAAUAGGUCAAGUAGAGACUACUGCUGCUCAGAUAGGGCUGAGGAUAGGUCAAGUACAGACUGACUAGAGGCUACUGCUGCUCAGAGAGGGCUGAGGAUAGGUAAAGUAGAGACUACUGCUGCUCAGAUAUGGCUGAGGAUAGGUCAAAUAGAGACUGACUAGAGACUACUGCUGUUCAGACAGGGCUGAGGAUAGGUCAAGUAGAGACUACUGCUCAGAUUGGGCUGAGGAUAGGUCAAGUAGAGACUACUGCUGUUCGGGUAGGGCUGAGGAUAGGUCAAGUAGUGACUACUGCUGCUCAGUGCUGAGGAUGGGUCAAGUAGAGACUACUGCUGCUCAGAUAUGGCUGAGGAUAGGUCAAGUAGAGACUGACUGGAGACUACUGCUGUUCAGAUAGAGCUGAGGAUUGUUCAAAUAGAGACUACUGCUGCUCAGAUAGGGCUGAGGAUAGGUCAAGUAGAGACUGACUGGAGACUAAUGAUGCUCAG
This 1034-nucleotide long non-coding RNA is filed under the name Salmo salar (Atlantic salmon). RNAcentral describes it as "lncRNA (ENSSSAG00000095644.1)". The record is from RNAcentral. Lineage: Eukaryota; Metazoa; Chordata; Actinopteri; Salmoniformes; Salmonidae.